RNAcentral lists this transfer RNA (74 nucleotides) under Paracoccus marcusii. RNAcentral describes it as "tRNA-Val". It matches the Rfam family "tRNA". Rfam says of the family: Transfer RNA (tRNA) molecules are approximately 80 nucleotides in length. Lineage: Bacteria; Pseudomonadati; Pseudomonadota; Alphaproteobacteria; Rhodobacterales; Paracoccaceae. The record is from RNAcentral.
GGGUGAUUAGCUCAGCGGUAGAGCGCUUCGUUCACAUCGAAGAUGUCAGGGUUCAAAUCCCUUAUCACCCACCA